AUGGGUCACGAAUGUUUUUUAAAAAAAGAUGAAUUUCCGGGUAUGAAUGAUGCUUUUAUUAAAGCUGGAGUGGUGAAAAUGAAACAUCUGACAAAGUUAGCAGGUCCGAAUUUGAAUAAUGUGGAGGCGGUGGCAGAAAGACUUGGUAUUCAUUCUUCUCGAAAAGUUGGACAGUUUUUACAAGGCUUUCGGGACUUAUUAACUGAAGAAGAAAAAUUAAGACUUAAAAAUUGGAUGGAAAGAUGUGAAUUGCCUGAGUCUACUGAUCUCUUUCCGAGUAUGGGAGUGAGACCGAGAAUGGAUGAAGAGGACUUUCAAGAUCUAUCAGGGUUUUUCAAAAAUGAUGUUCGUUUUACUGUUUUUAAUUCUGUAGGAGGGAAAAGUAUUUAUUCCUUUUGUGUUAAGGUGCUGAAUAAAGGAAAAUUAAAAAAUAGGAUUGACACACCAUGGAGGAAAUAUCUGGAUGUAAAAGAUGAGAUAAUGCCAGUAUGGGAAGCAAUUUAUAAGCCACCAUUGACCAAAAAGGUUGGAGAUAUUCAGUGGAGAAUACUGCAUGGUACUAUUGCAGUAAAUGCUUUUGUGGCUAUUAUAAAUUCUGAAAUUACUGAUACCUGUCCUUUUUGUAAUUGUAGAGAAACUAUUUUUCAUUGUUUUCUUAGGUGCAAACGAUUGUUGCCUUUAUUUGUUUUAUUGAAAGAAUUGUUUAAUUUGUUUGGAGAAAUGUUCUCUGAUGUUUGUUUAAUUUUUGGAGUGAAAAUUGGGAAAAAUAAGAGGGAUAUUAGUAAAAUCUUAAAUGUUCUAUUAGGACAAGCUAAAUUAACAAUUUAUGCAACAAGAAAAAGAAAAAUAGAACAAAAUAAUAAUAUUGAUGUUCUUGUUUUUUUUAAAUGUAUAACAAGAGCUAGGAUACAUUUAGAAUUUAAUUAUUAUAGAUUAAUGGAUAAUGUUGAAGGUUUUAAAGAGAUUUGGAGCUUAAAUGGGAAAAUAUGUACUGUGAAUGGAGAAAUUUUAUCUUUUUCUGAAAACUUUGUUUAA
Molecule: long non-coding RNA, 1035 nt
Filed under: Carassius auratus (goldfish)
Lineage: Eukaryota; Metazoa; Chordata; Actinopteri; Cypriniformes; Cyprinidae
Description: lncRNA (ENSCARG00000042375.1)
Source: RNAcentral